AAAACUAGUAAUUGAGAUUUCAAACAGAAUAAUUUAAAAUCUUGCAAAAUAACAUAUCGACAAAAUUUUGUUACAAAACUGUUCGAUAUCGUUAUAACCUAAUAAUGAAAUCUUUAUCGGUUUAAUAUCUAUCCUGGGCGCGAAAGAUAUUAAGGAAACCUUAAAAUUUUCAACUCGUGUAAUCCUAACCAGACCUGGUACCAAACCGCAAGUAUCUUAUGGCAAUUUAUAUCGCGUGUACGAAACGAAAUUAGCAGAUUAUACUUAUGAUACUUCUGCCCAAGAUAAACAGAAACUAAACGCGCAUUCCAUCGAUAUCUUUUUGGACGCUUAACGUACCGAUAAGAUUGACGACUUAAUCUCUUAUAACGAAAAAAGUAUAGUAGUGAGAGGAGAGAAUGAAAUGAAAUAUUUUCUCGAUAAAUAAUCUUGCGAAUAGAUGCGAGACUCUACUUUUUACUCUUGCAUCUGUAUUGCAAACUAUUUAAAUUUCUACCAAAAUUCGAAAUAAUCUCCCAUUUCGAUGCCAGCCUAUUGAAAAUAAAAGAAAAAUCCACAAUUUAAAAGCUAAAAAGAAAAAAAGAAAAUAAAAGCGACGAUCAUUCUAAUACGAUCUUUCGUCGAUCUUUGCUCCUCAUCCCAUCAACAUUGUGGGUCAAGCUCGUUCAAUUCACGUCUACCAUUAAACAUAACGAGCCGAGAAGCACCACGGACGAUUAUCUUCGUAAGGGAGCAUGCUAAUGUGUCGACGAUAACCACCGUGCAUUCUCGUGUCCUUCAUCGCUUACAACGUUGUACACGUUUAUCGCGACGUCCAUGAAGUUUGGAGUCGGAGAACUAUGUCCAAAAUGUCCUUCGGCCAUUCUCUUCCAUCCUCUUCCCUUCCUUCCUUCUUUUUUAUUUUUUUUUUUUUAUUUUUUUCUUUUCCUUGCCUCCAUCACGAUUCCGCUACCCUUCGGUAGUCAGGAGAGUAGUCAAUCGGUUAAUAAUAUCCAACCCAGAGGCUGAAACUCGAAUUAAUUAAAAAUAAUAGGGAGUUUCUUUCCUUCGUUCCUUCUGUUUUCCAUAAAAAUCGCGAGCGAGGCAUAUGAAAAUCUAUGGCUUCUUCUUUUUUCUUUUUUUUUUUUCUCUUUUUUUUCGACACGCGAGUACCAAUUAUUAGGCUUCUGUUUUUGCACUACUUGUAAAGUGCUUAUGCAUGUACCCUGUAAUUUGAAAGAAUAGCUCCGAGAAACAGUUACUUGAUGAGAAUACCUUCGAACGUUGCACGUGGUUAUUUUAGGUGUAAAAUAUAUGCUUAUUAUUCACUGCUCGCUGACCCACUAUCGCGCUUAUUAAUUAUUGAUUAUUGGGUAUCAUUGAACGUGCCGGAAUUCCAAGCUUUCGUGAAAAAAUCGCAAAAAAAAAAAAAACGACGGCGAAAUUACUUCUUCCCGCAAUAAUUUUUAUUUCGAGUAACAAAAUUAUACCGUUCCUUUCUAUCCCAAUUAUAAAAUCCGCUUCCUGAUUUGGCCACGAGUAAUUUCUUCUCCAUAUAUCGCAAUAAUAACGUAUAUAUUUCCAACGAAAAAUCCAAAUUUAGCAAUUAUAUUUUCCUCUCGAUCCGUCAAAUUCCAUCCAAAAUAAUAUUCAUCAAAGAAAAAAAUCUUCUCGGCGUAAAUCGACGAUUCGAAGAGCACUUGCCGUGAAAACACCGAUUCGACAAAAAAAUAAAUAAAUAAAAACAAUUCUCGUAAAUAAUCCCGAUUCGAUGGGACGAGGUUAAAUCGAUCGAUUCGAGAGGUCGAUGGGAUUAAAGUUUCGAAAUGCGAAACGGGCACGUAUGUGCACAACUGGAAUGGAUGAAUCCGCCCCUGGCGCCAUGGUGUGUGCCCAGAGAGAUGUGGCAUGGUGUGUGGUUGUUGGUUGCCGGCCGAUGCCCAGUCUCCAGUCUGGCUGCAGCUGCGAACCGGUUAUAUACUUUCAUCUGGCAGUCUUAGCACGGUCCCUAAAAGAGAAUCCGAUGACUAUAGCCAGGAGAGCGCAUACAUACACCGAUAGAGAGAGAGAAAGAGGAAGAAAAAGAGAGAGAGAGAAAGAGAAAGAGAGAGAGAGAGGAGAAAGGGAAACGAGAGGGAGGUUAAUACCUGUACCGAAGGCACGCUUAUGCAUUGGAAGAAAGGGCGUCGUUUUUUUCAUCCGGACCAGCAGCUACUCCUUCUGGUGUACCAACGAGCUCUUUUUGGAUUUCUGAUUUUCAACGAUUGAAAAGCUACUGAAUAUCGAUACUGUUAUUCAGAAUUAGAAAAUCAUCGUGUACCAGGAAAUUGGAAGAAAUCACAACGAGGAUCGAGUUGGGACCGAGUUGUGUA
Apis mellifera (honey bee) is the source of this 2351-nucleotide long non-coding RNA. RefSeq lists it as uncharacterized. The transcript is spliced from 3 exons. The record is from RefSeq and is a predicted model, not a curated record. Lineage: Eukaryota; Metazoa; Arthropoda; Insecta; Hymenoptera; Apidae.